AGGGCUAAACUUUAGAUUUUUGAACUUCCAGGACCCUUUAAAAGAAGAUGGAUCAGUUCAAGGACUAAAAGCAUAAUUAAUCCUAAAUUUAUUUUUUUUAUCCAAAAUAAAUUUUAUGUCCAAGCUUCUAUAUUUCAUAUUAUUGGGACCCCCAAGCAACAAAUCUAACUCAUUUUUGCUUAUAUGGUGAUUCUAAAUAUGUCCUCUUCUUGGAAAUUUGUAUGCCACAACUUCAUCUCACCUUACCCUCUCACCAUCUAAUCAAAAGAAGCCUUUAGAAGGACCAACCACUAUCAUGGAUUUCAUAUAUCCACCU
RNAcentral lists this long non-coding RNA (316 nucleotides) under Elaeis guineensis (African oil palm). RNAcentral describes it as "long non-coding RNA (EGUI_LNC040887)". Lineage: Eukaryota; Viridiplantae; Streptophyta; Magnoliopsida; Arecales; Arecaceae. The record is from RNAcentral.